CCUANGGGGGGCAGCAGUCAGGAAUAUUGGGCAAUGGGCGAAAGCCUGACCCAGCAACGCCGCGUGAAGGAUGAAGGCCUUCGGGUCGUAAACUUCUGUCGAGAGGGAAGAAUGCGUACGGGUAAACAAUCCGUGCGUUUGACGGUACCUCCAAAGGAAGCACCGGCUAACUCCGUGCCAGCAGCCGCGGUAAUACGGAGGGUGCAAGCGUUGUUCGGAUUUACUGGGCGUACAGGGAGCGUAGGCGGUUCGGUAAGCCCUCUGUGAAAUCUCCAGGCUUAACCUGGAACAGUCGGAGGGGACUGCUGGGCUAGAGGACGGGAGAGGAGCGCGGAAUUCCCGGUGUAGCGGUGAAAUGCGUAGAGAUCGGGAGGAAGGCCGGUGGCGAAGGCGGCGCUCUGGAACGUAUCUGACGCUGAGGCUCGAAAGCGUGGGGAGCAAACAGGAUUAGAUACCCUGNUANUC
Molecule: ribosomal RNA, 465 nt
Filed under: uncultured bacterium
Lineage: Bacteria
Description: bacterial SSU rRNA
Rfam family: Bacterial small subunit ribosomal RNA
Source: RNAcentral